GUGCCUAAUACAUGCAAGUAGAACGCUGACUACUUUAGCUUGCUAGAGUAGAAGGAGUUGCGAACGGGUGAGUAACGCGUAGGUAACCUGCCUACUAGCGGGGGAUAACUAUUGGAAACGAUAGCUAAUACCGCAUAACAGUGUUUAACACAUGUUAGAUGCUUGAAAGAUGCAAAUGCAUCACUAGUAGAUGGACCUGCGUUGUAUUAGCUAGUUGGUGGGGUAACGGCCUACCAAGGCGACGAUACAUAGCCGACCUGAGAGGGUGAUCGGCCACACUGGGACUGAGACACGGCCCAGACUCCUACGGGAGGCAGCAGUAGGGAAUCUUCGGCAAUGGGGGCAACCCUGACCGAGCAACGCCGCGUGAGUGAAGAAGGUUUUCGGAUCGUAAAGCUCUGUUGUAAGAGAAGAACGUGUGUGAGAGUGGAAAGUUCACACAGUGACGGUAACUUACCAGAAAGGGACGGCUAACUACGUGCCAGCAGCCGCGGUAAUACGUAGGUCCCGAGCGUUGUCCGGAUUUAUUGGGCGUAAAGCGAGCGCAGGCGGUUUAAUAAGUCUGAAGUUA
Molecule: ribosomal RNA, 571 nt
Filed under: Streptococcus gallolyticus
Lineage: Bacteria; Bacillati; Bacillota; Bacilli; Lactobacillales; Streptococcaceae
Description: bacterial SSU rRNA
Rfam family: Bacterial small subunit ribosomal RNA
Source: RNAcentral